GAUGAACGCUGGCGGCGUGCCUAAUACAUGCAAGUCGAGCGAACAGAUGAGGAGCUUGCUCCUCUGACGUUAGCGGCGGACGGGUGAGUAACACGUGGAUAACCUACCUAUAAGACUGGGAUAACUUCGGGAAACCGGAGCUAAUACCGGAUAAUAUAUUGAACCGCAUGGUUCAAUAGUGAAAGACGGUUUUGCUGUCACUUAUAGAUGGAUCCGCGCCGCAUUAGCUAGUUGGUAAGGUAACGGCUUACCAAGGCGACGAUGCGUAGCCGACCUGAGAGGGUGAUCGGCCACACUGGAACUGAGACACGGUCCAGACUCCUACGGGAGGCAGCAGUAGGGAAUCUUCUGCAAUGGGCGAAAGCUUGACGGAGCAACGCCGCGUGAGUGAUGAAGGUCUUCGGAUCGUAAAACUCUGUUAUUAGGGAAGAACAAAUGUGUAAGUAACUAUGCACGUCUUGACGGUACCUAAUCAGAAAGCCACGGCUAACUACGUG
This 497-nucleotide ribosomal RNA is filed under the name uncultured bacterium. RNAcentral's name for it is "partial 16S ribosomal RNA". It matches the Rfam family "Bacterial small subunit ribosomal RNA", at positions 28 to 507 of the family's 1533-position model. The record is from RNAcentral.